AACGAACGCUGGCGGCAGGCUUAACACAUGCAAGUCGAACGCACCUUUCGGGGUGAGUGGCAGACGGGUGAGUAACGCGUGGGAAUCUACCCUUCUCUACGGGAUAGCUCCGGGAAACUGGAAUUAAUACCGUAUACGUCCUGAGGGAGAAAGAUUUAUCGGGGAAGGAUGAGCCCGCGUUGGAUUAGCUAGUUGGUGGGGUAAAGGCCUACCAAGGCGACGAUCCAUAGCUGGGCUAAGAGGAUGAUCAGCCACAGUGGGACUGAGACACGGCCCAAACUCCUGCGGGAGGCAGCAGUGGGGAAUCUUGGACAAUGGGCGCAAGCCUGAUCAAGCCAUGCUGCGUGAGUGAUGAAGGCCCUAGGGUUGUAUAGCUCUUUCAGUGGGGACGAUAAUGACGGUAACCACAGGAGAAGCCCCGGCUAACUUCGUG
This 433-nucleotide ribosomal RNA is filed under the name uncultured bacterium. RNAcentral describes it as "partial 16S ribosomal RNA". It matches the Rfam family "Bacterial small subunit ribosomal RNA", at positions 29 to 507 of the family's 1533-position model. The record is from RNAcentral.